AUUAAAGUGGCAGAAUUGGAGUGCUAUAGUUUUAGGAACUAUAAAUGAAUUUAAUAUUCCUUUAGUA
Molecule: transfer RNA, 67 nt
Filed under: Pallenopsis patagonica
Lineage: Eukaryota; Metazoa; Arthropoda; Pycnogonida; Pantopoda; Pallenopsidae
Description: tRNA-Leu
Rfam family: tRNA
About the family: Transfer RNA (tRNA) molecules are approximately 80 nucleotides in length.
Source: RNAcentral